Molecule: ribosomal RNA, 253 nt
Filed under: uncultured bacterium
Lineage: Bacteria
Description: partial 16S ribosomal RNA
Rfam family: Bacterial small subunit ribosomal RNA
Source: RNAcentral
UACGUAGGGUGCAAGCGUUAAUCGGAAUUACUGGGCGUAAAGCGUGCGCAGGCGGUUAUGUAAGACAGAUGUGAAAUGCCCGGGCUUAACCUGGGAACUGCAUUUGUGACUGCAUGGCUAGAGUUUGGCAGAGGGGGGUAGAAUUCCACGUGUAGCAGUGAAAUGCGUAGUUAUGCGGAGGAACACCGAUGGCGAAGGCAAUCCCCUGGGCCUGCACUGACGCUCAUGCACGAAAGCGUGGGGAGCAAACAGG